ACAGAGCACAGCGAUUAUUUACGAAUAAAUUGUCUUGUUCUUUAAGAUAAAUCGUAGUUCACCACCUACCUAUGUUGUCAUGACAACAACAAUGAAUUGAGAAGAAGGUUUAAAAGCUUUAGAAACUUCAAUCAAAACCAUUGAAGAAGUCAUUAUGAACAAGAAAGCCAAAGGUUGUCACAGAUAUGGAUGAAGCAGACUUUGCAAAGGAACUGGAAAAUUUUGAACGUCAAAAUGCAGAAGUUGAUGGUGAUGAUGAUAAUCCUGAUGAUGAAGAAAAACAAGAUGAAGCAUAAAUGAUUGUGGUUUGUUUUAAAACAUUUUAAAAGACACAUACUGAUGUUUUAUUUUUAUCUUACACGACCCUGCAGUUGACUUGAACUGCAUUUAGUUAAACUUCAAUUAUAUUCAAACCCAACACAGAUAUCAAUCUUUCAUGUUACUAUUAGAAAUAUAUGUUUCAUGGUCAGUA
This is a long non-coding RNA of Xenia sp. Carnegie-2017, 472 nucleotides long. RefSeq lists it as uncharacterized. Lineage: Eukaryota; Metazoa; Cnidaria; Anthozoa; Malacalcyonacea; Xeniidae. The transcript has 2 exons. The record is from RefSeq and is a predicted model, not a curated record.